GACGAACCGUCCGAACGUUAUUCGGAAUCACUGGGCUUAAAGGGUGCGUAGGCGGCGCGGAAAGUUGGGUGUGAAAUCUCGGGGCUUAACUCCGAAACUGCAUUCGAUACUGCCGUGCUUGAGGACUGGAGAGGAGACUGGAAUUUACGGUGUAGCGGUGAAAUGCGUAGAUAUCGUAAGGAAGACCAGUGGCGAAGGCGGGUCUCUGGACAGUUCCUGACGCUGAGGCACGAAGGUCAGGGGAGCAAACGGG
This 253-nucleotide ribosomal RNA is filed under the name uncultured bacterium. RNAcentral describes it as "partial 16S ribosomal RNA". It matches the Rfam family "Bacterial small subunit ribosomal RNA", at positions 524 to 776 of the family's 1533-position model. The record is from RNAcentral.